RNAcentral lists this non-coding RNA (30 nucleotides) under Rattus norvegicus (Norway rat). The record is from RNAcentral. Lineage: Eukaryota; Metazoa; Chordata; Mammalia; Rodentia; Muridae.
ACGGCCGAUUUCCUGAUUUGGUAUUUGGCA